UGGGUAACCUGCCUCAAAGAGGGGAAUAGCCUCCCGAAAGGGAGAUUAAUACCGCAUAAUAUGUUUAAGUCGCAUGACUUUAACAUCAAAGGAUUUUCUUUUAGAAAUUCCACUUUGAGAUGGACCCGCGGCGCAUUAGCUAGUUGGUGAGGUAACGGCUCACCAAGGCAACGAUGCGUAGCCGACCUGAGAGGGUNAUCGGCCACAUUGGAACUGUGACACGGUCCAGACUCCGUAGGAGG
RNAcentral lists this ribosomal RNA (242 nucleotides) under uncultured bacterium. RNAcentral describes it as "partial 16S ribosomal RNA". It matches the Rfam family "Bacterial small subunit ribosomal RNA", at positions 118 to 348 of the family's 1533-position model. The record is from RNAcentral.